RNAcentral lists this ribosomal RNA (232 nucleotides) under uncultured Enterobacterales bacterium. Its description in RNAcentral is "partial 16S ribosomal RNA". It matches the Rfam family "Bacterial small subunit ribosomal RNA", at positions 99 to 334 of the family's 1533-position model. Lineage: Bacteria; Pseudomonadati; Pseudomonadota; Gammaproteobacteria; Enterobacterales. The record is from RNAcentral.
CGGACGGGUGAGUAAUGUCUGGGAAACUGCCUGAUGGAGGGGGAUAACUACCGGAAACGGUAGCUAAUACCGCAUAACGUCGCAAGACCAAAGAGGGGGACCUUCGGGCCUCUUGCCAUCAGAUGUGCCCAGAUGGGAUUAGCUAGUAGGUGGGGUAACGGCUCACAUAGGCGACGAUCCCUAGCUGGUAUGAGAGGAUGACCAGCCACACUGGAACUGAGACACGGUCCAG